GCCGGCAGUCAGGAGAUACGAACCCCUCCUUUAUUUCCCAGCGCUUCUCGCAGCACUUUUCCUGCGCGCUGUGAGCCGAAGGGUUCUGCUUUCCAUGCGGGGCCCCCGCGGUGCUCUCAGUGCCACAUCGCAGUGUGUGUCCCUAUUGGGGCGGCUGCAGCACCGCUGUGAGCUCCCGCUGCUCCCCGCUCAGUGCCUGCCACGCCGCCCUCCGCUCCGCGAUGCGGCGCUGCAGCGCUGCGAUCCGCUCCCUCCCCUGCAGCACCGCCGCCGCCGCGGCGCUGUUGUCCCUUUGGCUGUCGCUCAGCGCGCGGCGCAGAAAGCAGCGCUGCUUCAGCAGAUACGGCACGAGGGCACUGCGCGCGUCCGCCUCCGGGAUGCCGCUGGGCCGCCAGGCCGGCUCCUCGCAGCCCCGCGACUCCUCCACGAUGGCAUCCAAUGCCCGGAACAGCUCCUCCAGGUUCCCCUCCUUCUUCACCUCCUGGAUCUCCUCC
This 494-nucleotide long non-coding RNA is filed under the name Gallus gallus (chicken). Lineage: Eukaryota; Metazoa; Chordata; Aves; Galliformes; Phasianidae. The record is from RNAcentral.